RNAcentral lists this transfer RNA (71 nucleotides) under Loxodonta africana (African savanna elephant). It matches the Rfam family "tRNA". Rfam says of the family: Transfer RNA (tRNA) molecules are approximately 80 nucleotides in length. Their secondary structure includes four short double-helical elements and three loops (D, anti-codon, and T loops). The record is from Rfam by way of RNAcentral. Lineage: Eukaryota; Metazoa; Chordata; Mammalia; Proboscidea; Elephantidae.
GCAGUGGUGGCUCAGGGGUAGAACUCUCUCCUUGUAUGCAGGAGACCCAGGUUCAAUUCCCGGCCAGUGCG